UUUCCGUAGGUGAACCUGCGGAAGGAUCAUUCAUAAUAAAGUGUUUUAUGGCACUUUUUAAAAAUCCAUAUCCACCUUGUGUGCAAUGUUAGAUCUCGUCAAUCUUGGCGAGAUUUUUAUACAUCAACUCAUUCUUUAACUAAUUUGUCUGAAAAAUAUUAUGAAUACUUAAUUCAAAAUACAACUUUCAACAACGGAUCUCUUGGCUCUCGCAUCGAUGAAGAACGCAGU
RNAcentral lists this unclassified non-coding RNA (231 nucleotides) under plant metagenome. Its description in RNAcentral is "partial contains small subunit ribosomal RNA, internal transcribed spacer 1, and 5.8S ribosomal RNA". The stretch from base 183 to 231 matches the Rfam family "5.8S ribosomal RNA", at positions 1 to 49 of the family's 154-position model. The record is from RNAcentral.